RNAcentral lists this ribosomal RNA (252 nucleotides) under uncultured bacterium. RNAcentral's name for it is "partial 16S ribosomal RNA". It matches the Rfam family "Bacterial small subunit ribosomal RNA", at positions 524 to 776 of the family's 1533-position model. The record is from RNAcentral.
UACGUAGGGUGCGAGCGUUAAUCGGAAUUACUGGGCGUAAAGCGUGCGCAGGCGGUUUUGUAAGCCAGGUGUGAAAUCCCCGGGCUCAACCUGGGAAUGGCAUUUGGGACUGCAAGGCUGGAGUGCGGCAGAGGAGACUGGAAUUCCUGGUGUAGCAGUGAAAUGCGUAGAUAUCAGGAGGAAGGCCGGUGGCGAAGGCGGCGCUCUGGAACGUACCUGACGCUGAGACACGAAAGCGUGGGAGCAAACAGG